This 274-nucleotide ribosomal RNA is filed under the name uncultured bacterium. RNAcentral's name for it is "partial 16S ribosomal RNA". It matches the Rfam family "Bacterial small subunit ribosomal RNA", at positions 523 to 796 of the family's 1533-position model. The record is from RNAcentral.
AUACGGAGGGUGCAAGCGUUAAUCGGAAUUACUGGGCGUAAAGCGCGCGUAGGCGGUUAUUUAAGUCAGAUGUGAAAGCCCUGGGCUCAACCUAGGAACUGCAUCUGAUACUGGGUAACUAGAGUUUUGGAGAGGUAAGUGGAAUUUCCGGUGUAGCGGUGAAAUGCAUAGAGAUCGGAAGGAACACCAGUGGCGAAGGCGACUUACUGGCCAAAAACUGACGCUGAGGUGCGAAAGCGUGGGUAGCAAACAGGAUUAGAUACCCUAGUAGUCC